AAUAAACACCUUAACAUCAAACGGCUAUAACUAUUUUACCCUAACUCCAAAUCUUCUAAUUUUUACACACAAAUUGUAUCCAAAAUCCUAAACUUAAAAACCAUAGCUUGUAAUCUCUGAAUGCUCUCUUUGAAGUCACCGAAACCCUUAUUAAGGUGGCUGACAGCCUCCUCAAAGCCCAUUGGGCAUGGUAUUCGAUCAAUAGAGA
This 208-nucleotide long non-coding RNA is filed under the name Physcomitrium patens. Its description in RNAcentral is "long non-coding RNA (PPAT_LNC000901)". The record is from RNAcentral. Lineage: Eukaryota; Viridiplantae; Streptophyta; Bryopsida; Funariales; Funariaceae.